This 125-nucleotide small RNA is filed under the name Marmota monax (woodchuck). Lineage: Eukaryota; Metazoa; Chordata; Mammalia; Rodentia; Sciuridae. The record is from RNAcentral.
GCCAGGCAUGAUGGCGCAUGCCUGUAAUCCCAGCAACUCGGGAGGCUGAGACAGGAGGAUUGUGAGUUUAAAGCCAGCUUCAGCAAAAGCGAGGCCCUAAGCAACUCAGUGAGACCCUGUCUCUA